Lampris incognitus (smalleye Pacific opah) is the source of this 1850-nucleotide long non-coding RNA. RefSeq lists it as uncharacterized. The record is from RefSeq and is a predicted model, not a curated record. NCBI's taxonomy places the organism in Eukaryota, Metazoa, Chordata, Actinopteri, Lampriformes, Lampridae. The transcript is spliced from 15 exons.
AAGAAGUUAACGGCAUUUGCUCGGCCUCAUUCGGUCUGGUCAGCUAGGUGAGGGCGCUGGUUCGAUUACGGUGUCGAGCUUUACAUCUUAUUUUCGAUCAUGAAUUUGUGCUGCUUGCAAGCCUGGAAAUGUCAUAGCCACAACUGUUAUCCAAGGAAAGUGGAGAUGAACAAACUGCCAUAUGAGGUGUUGCGUUAACAGCCAAUGCAUGAGCAUGCUUCCCAAGAAGUUGACGUAUUCUAUUUAGUUGACUGUAGACCCACUGACCAGGACAGAUGGUCGCUAGUGUGUUUGGAUAAACUGACAUGGACUUUUGGCAGUGCAUUGUGAUGACAUGGACUAUUGUUGGCAGUGCAGUGUGAUGGAUGUCUUUCACCACAGCACGACUGACUGCGGCCCCACAAUUGGGGUUGAUUCUGGUGGAGUCCACUUGCAUAACCCCUUGCAACCACAAGAGGCCACAAGGCACAUGUAAGAUGACGAUCUGGAGGGCACUUGGAAUUCCAGAAAUGGUCUAAAUACUGAAGCUGUGGCAUGGCAUGUCAAUAGACCUUGGAAAUUUGCCUGUUAUGGGGAGGAGGCUACUGUGCCGAAGAUGAUGUUCCUGUAUAAAUGGAUGCUGCCAUGAAAGCUGCAGAAACGUUUCUGCCAGGAAAAGUAUGGCAAGCCACGCUACAAAUCCUGGCCCAGACAGUUGCCACCAAUCCAGUCAAGCUGCGCCAGCCAAAGCAAAUAUCAGUCAUAUUGUACAGUUGCGCUAUCAAGUCAGGUUGCGAUACCAUUCAGAUGGGUUGUGUGUAUCAAAAGCUAAAAGUGCCACAAGACAACUCUUAUUUGCAUUUUUUUUACAUUAAAAAGUCUAUCAAAAAUGGUUUUCAUGGUGCUCAUGAUAUACAUGAAAACGCCUUUUUUUUUUUACAGCAUGUUUAAGUAGGUUUUUUUUAUUAUUUGUGUAGCACUACCUUUGUCAGACAGUGCUUGACAGGGCAGUAAAACAGACAACAAAACACUACAUGGUUAAAUGAAAAUCUUUAUGAAUAGUCAUAAGGAUGAGAAGGGUCCUGCACCCUUAUGUUUUUGAAGUAUUUUCUCUAAAAUUUUAAUAAGGACAAUCUGAAUCAGUUUUACUAGAACGGUGUUUUUCACACAUUGGAUCCCAAGAUGCAAAUGCAUAAAAAAAAAUUCUCCCAUUGCUACAACUCUUGAGUUGUAGCAAUUAAGUUCUCAGAUAAUAAGCUGAAAUAUUUGGUGGAGUCAGCAGAGUUCUAAUUAAACACAACACGUCUGUGAUUGUUUCAAAGUGUUUGUUUUGCAUGGCCAGUAAGUUCUCUAACCUAACAGUGAAGAGUAAAAGCAAUGCAUCGAAAGGUGCUUGCUGUUGUUUGGCUGUAAAUGUGUUGUCUUUAUGAAUUGUACUGUACUCCAGAGGACUGUGACGGCAAAUAAUCCUCUUUUGGACAAUAUCCCUGAGUGCAUUUCAGCAUUCACAAUCAAAUAAGUUAUUAGUAUAUCUAGAAAUGAACAAUCACCAGACAUUCAUGUCCAUGGAUGGCACUCCCAUUAUUAAAGUUUUUACAGUCCAAAAUGAAAUCCAACUCUUUGUAAUUUAUUAAAAGCUGCAGUAUUUUAUAGUAAUGAGUCCAGCCCAUGAAUUGCUCUGUAGGCUGGCUGCAGUUUCCUUUUAAGUGGCUUAAAGGAUUAUUUUGUGUACUUCAAUCUUAGAAGGGAACAUUUUUUAACUUACUUGCAACAAAGGUAUAAUUGUCAUACAAAAACGGCAAAAAGCAGUUUUGUACAACCCAGGGGAGUCCAAAGUCCUGUCAUUGUGUGACUGAGUUAAAAUAAAAUGU